AGGAACAACAUGAUUAGACAUCUGAUCAACACUGCUAUAUUGUUGCUGUUUUUAACAGGCUUCUCUGUGAACUCUGCUAUCAAACAGACCCCUUCUGACCUGCUGUCCAAAAACAAUGUAGAAUCAGUGACUCUUCACUGUUCUCACACAAAUCCAAGCUUCAAUGUCAUCCUCUGGUACAAGCAGCCUCUAAGCGGAGAAAUGCAGCUCAUGGGGUAUCUAUACAGGACAAAUAAUAACUCUGAGCCAGUUUUUAAUGAGAAAAUUGAGAUAUUGGGGAAUGGAGCAAGUAAAAGCCAUUUGAUACUGAAAAAACUUUCCUCAGAUGACAAUGCAAUCUAUUACUGCGCUGCAAGAGAACACAGUGCUGUGGGUUUCCUGCACUUCUGCACAAAAACGUUAUCAUGAAAUCCUAUACAUUACAUCACAGUGUCACUCUUUCUUUAUGUUAAGAAGGUAGUUAUGUUUGUGACAUGCCAAAUGUAAAUACUUAUGGGCUACCGCUGCUAGUUGUCACACUUUAUUACUCCAGUGAAUGUUUCUCAGUGCUCAUUUCUGUAUAGGCUUAUACUUUGGAAGGCAGCUUCAAUGUACUGUAUGUUAAACUAUAAAACAUGUCCACCAGAAAUGUAACAUAUGUAAAACCUACACCUGUUGUUAGAAAACAGUUCAGGCUAAA
Cyprinus carpio (common carp) is the source of this 679-nucleotide non-coding RNA. Lineage: Eukaryota; Metazoa; Chordata; Actinopteri; Cypriniformes; Cyprinidae. The record is from the annotation of a RefSeq genome assembly.